Long non-coding RNA from Orcinus orca (killer whale), 183 nucleotides. RefSeq lists it as uncharacterized. NCBI's taxonomy places the organism in Eukaryota, Metazoa, Chordata, Mammalia, Artiodactyla, Delphinidae. The record is from RefSeq and is a predicted model, not a curated record. The transcript has 3 exons.
CGGCAAUGAAAUUUUGUUGAAAAUCCUGGAUCUCAUUAAUACUUAGAGCAGUUCAGGGAAUUUCAUGAACCAAAUGCCUGUAAAUUAUAAAAAGCUCUUGAAAAUGAGUAGAUUCCAGUCAAUUAAAAUUUGAAUGUCCUGACCCACACCCCAAACACACACCAAAAAAGAGGAAGGAGGGCA